UUGCAAACUGGAACAUUACGAUGUCCAUAGUCUGGAGGAACACCCACCAAUAUUGGAAAGAGGUUCUGCCCUUCUGCGCUUUACAAGGACUACUGUCCAGUGGAUAUAGAGGGAAGUACAUGUGUGGAUUUUGGAUCGUGACAGUAUUGGACUUGAAUGCAGGACUCUCUGCAAUUAAAUACACCAGUGAAGACAGUGAGAAGUGCAACUGAGAGGCAAUUGGAGAACAGCUGCUGUAUAUGACACCAAUUUCAGGUUUGCCAUCUGCAGACAGCUAUGUUGACAACAGAGAAGGGCAGAAGAUUGUUGGAAGUGGAAGUGGGUCUGCUAAUUACUGGUGGUAGUGUCCAAUGAAUGCAGAGGUCCAAUUUUAUGGGAGUACUCUUGGUGGGCGGGGCAAGAAGUCCUGUCUUCCACACAUCUCUGUGCCUCCUGAGGCCCAGUAAAUAUGGCCUGGUGAUAUUAAAUCUAAAAAUGGUGUUAAAUGAGAGGUACGUAGCCUCCUCAAAAUAUUUCAGUGACCAAUCUGCACAUUGAGAGUGGUUGAUAACCUUCUCUGAGAAGCUAAAAUGACCUUCCAUGGACUUCCCAUAGUGUCCUUGUCAGCAACACUCA
This is a long non-coding RNA of Rhincodon typus (whale shark), 615 nucleotides long. RefSeq lists it as uncharacterized. The transcript has 3 exons. The record is from RefSeq and is a predicted model, not a curated record. Lineage: Eukaryota; Metazoa; Chordata; Chondrichthyes; Orectolobiformes; Rhincodontidae.